RNAcentral lists this long non-coding RNA (3727 nucleotides) under Homo sapiens (human). RNAcentral's name for it is "DNA damage enabling regulator, melanocytic melanoma-associated lncRNA, transcript variant 1 (DDERMMAL)". The record is from RNAcentral. Lineage: Eukaryota; Metazoa; Chordata; Mammalia; Primates; Hominidae.
AGACAGGCAGUCACAAGCCUGGGGACUGCAGGCACAGUGAGGAAGGUAGGGAAGGGUCUCUCCAAGACAGGCCCACCAGGAGCCCCCACUGGGAAUAAUGCAGCCCCUCUCAGGGGAUGGAGUGUCUGGAAUUCCAUGGCUGAGGUGCAACAGGUGACUGAAGGUUUGAGGAGGCAACGCUGCCACUCACAGUCAGAAGCAGAGGGGAUGAGAUGGCCAGAUGUGAUUGGAAUCAGACACAGUGAGGUUUGAAUCCUCACUCUGUCCUUUUUGUUGUGUGGCCUGUGUGACAGGUCCCACAGCCUCUCCAGCCUCUGUGGGAAGAAGGAUCAUCUGAUGCCUAUGUAAUAGAGUUGCUGAAGGAGUGGAAGCAGCUUUGACAUUAUCAGUGGAACCCACCAGUGCAGACUGCUUCACCAAGGGCACCUGAGGCAGCAGAUCUGAGGAUUAGGGACGUAGGGAGCUGAAGCCUGGCUGGAGAGGUGGUGCGCACAAGAACCCCCACAUUCCCCGACAGGAGCCUGAAAAAGCAAGACGCCAUGUUGGGAGGACACGGAAGCAGUUCUAGGGAGAGGAGCACAUGGCAAGAAGCCAAGGCCUCCUGCCCACAGCCGCCUAGUUUCUUUUGCAGAUACCCUGUGAUUGCCAGCAAGUAAACCAGAUGCAAUUGUGGUUUCCGUGAAGCACAGCUGGAAAACUGCUGCCCCCACGGAGGAAGAGGAAGAUGGGAAGAUGGUGGUUACUGCACACCAGGCACCAGCCUCGGGGCUAUGAGCUGUACAAACAUUACCCAUUUUAUCCUCGUGACCAUGUUCUGAGAAGGCUGUCAAUGAUCUCACUUUAUACAUGGGGAAAUUCAUGCAGACAGAGGCUGACUAAAUUGCCAUGGUCACUCAGCUAGUAGGAACUGGAGCUGUAACUUGAACCCGGGUCUUUUGUUUCUGUGGCUCCUGGUAGCACAUGCCGGGCUUGAAGUGAGAUCCGGAGGAUGUUGGAAACAACGUGUUCCCCAUCAUGAAAGUCCUUAUGAUACCUUAUGAUGCAGAGUUGGCAGCCAGGAGCAGGGGCUUCCAGAAGCAUGGCUGACCCUUGUUGGGAUCUCGCUCCUGUGAGCCUUGGAACGUCUAGGGAGAAAGAGCAGCCAAAUUUAGAGCUGCAGGAGCUUUGAGAUGCAGCUCAGGCAUCAUCUCUGGGAAGUCUUUCCUGGAACCACAGCCUGGGCCCUGUACCUGAUUCCCAGCCCCUGUGGCUCUUUUUGCAUUUGCUGCCUCUUUUCACAAUUCUGUCUCCUUAUGUCUUCCACUCUACACGCAAGCCCCUUGAGGGCAGGACCAUGACUCAGUCAUCCUGUACCCUAGCACCCACCCUGGGUCUGCAUCUGGAAGGAGCUCACUAAGUGAUUAUUGAGCCAAACUGAACUGUAGCAGGAGUGAGCAAAGCUAAUUCAUGGGUGCAGAAUGGGAGCACAGAGCUGCCAGAAUCCAGAGACAACUGUAACUGUCCCGGCACAGGGGGCUUCAGGCCGCGGUGAGAGCCACUGAAAGCAAGAGAGCCAGGUGGUGGCUCAGUUCACACUGAGUCCUGCUGAAGAAAUAGGCACAUCGUGUGUGUUAAAAUCAGCACCCCAUGCACCUGUAGGAAGAGACUGAGGCACCCUGGAGGCCCCUCCCAAUAAUUAAAAGGCCCUCUGGGGCCUGUGGGAGCCCUAGCUGAUGAAAUCACAAAGGCCUCAGCCUCUAAAGUGUUUCCAGUAAAAUGCUACCAGGAUUUUCCUCCCUUAAAUCUGGAUGAAAGGGCUGUCUGUGCUACAAAGUGCACACCUGGCGUUGAUACGCAGUCUCUUGCUGCCUGUUAACUAACCCACCAGCCGACAAGUUCUGCCCACUGGCAGGAGCAAGGACUUAUAAAAAAUAGUGCCUCCCUCCCAAGGGCUUAUGAGCUGGUUAAGUGCAGAGGACAAAUAGAAUGAAAGAAAAGGCAAUCUCGGCAUAGUAUUUAGUUAAUUCUUCUCUCUCUCUUGUUCCCUCUCUCUCCUUUCUCUCUUCCUCCCUCCUUUCUAUGACUUGUCCUCUCCACACAACUCCUUUUCCGUUUUCCCUCCCCUGCCUCCCCACCUUCUUUCUUGACUUCCCAUCUUGCUCCCUUUCUUCCUGCCUGCCCAUCUGCUUUCCUUUCUUAUCUCUGGUGCAAAUUCUGCAUAUAGUCGCUCUCCUCAUUUCAUGACAGGCUGUCUUCAUCAGUUUCUGAGUUCUUUUGUUAUUUUAUAAAAUAUUUUACAUGCUGUCCUCAAAAAAUCCCCUCCCCCAGAAAAGGCCCAUUCAAAAGUACUUACUAUACGUCCUUAGAUAGGCAAUGAUCUCUGAAAUAUAUAUAGGCUUGCUCUAUAUGUGUUUUUGUAAGUGUACUUUUCUUUCAUUAAAUAUGCAGAUCUUAAUUGUACAGUUUGAGGUGUUUUGACAAAGGUAUAUACCAGUAAAACCACCACCCCAACCAAGGUACCGAACACUUUCAUCUCUCUGGAAAGUCCCCUUGUGCCACCUUCCAGUCAACUCUCACCCUCCAGAGGCACCCACUGUUCAGAUUUCUACAUGCAUUUUGCCUGUUGCUGAACUGGAACCUCACAGCCUUUUACGUCUGGCUUCUUUCACUUAACAUAAUGUUUUUAAGUCAUCCAUGUAGUUCAUUCUUUUUUUUGUUGCAGAGCAAUAUUCCAUUGUGUGAAUGGAUGUACUUUAUCCAUCAACAGUUGAUGAAGUUGGGUUGGUGGCACUUUUUGGCUAUCGUGGGUAAUGCUGCUCUGGAUGUUUCUGCACAAGUCUUUAUUGUGGACAUGGGUUUCCAUUUCUUCUGGGCAAAUGCCCAGGAACAGAAUUGCUGAUUCAUUAGGAAGUUAUAUGUUUAACUUCAUAAGAAACUGGAAAACCGCACUCCACAGUGUUCAUGCUAUUGCACAUUGCCCCCAGUGCCAUGUGAAUGUUUCAUUCUUGGGGUCUAGAAUAUCUUACUGCAGUUUUAAUUGGAAGUUCUCUGAUGACUUUUGAUAGAGUAUCUUUUCAUGUGCUUAUUGGUUAUUUAUUUCUUCUUUAAAGAAGAGUCUAGAUCCUUUUCCCAUUUAAAAUUGCAUUGCUUCUAUUUUUACUGUUGAUUCUUAGAAGUUCUUUACAUAUUUUAGAUUUAUAUACAGUAAAUAUUUUCUCCCAGUCCAUGGCUUGCCUUUACCUUUUCUUAAUGGUGUCUUUUGAUUAACCAGACAUUUUAAAUUUUCAUGAAGCCUAUUGUAUCGGGGGUUGUUUUUGUUUGUUCAUUUAUGGUUAGUACUCUUUUUGGUGCUAGCCAGGAAAACUUUGCCUACAUUCUCCUAAGCUCAUGAAUAUAUUUUUCUAUAUUUGUUUCUAGGACAUUUAUAAUUCAAACUUUUAUGUUCUAGCCUAUCACUCAUGUAUAGUUAUGUAUAGUAUAAAUAAGGAUUGAAGUUCAUUUUUCUUUCCAUAUACUUAUCCAGUUAUUCCAGCACCAUUUGUUGAAAACACUUUCUUUCCCUCAUUGAAUUUCCUUGAAGCUUGUGCUCAUAACUUAUAUAACGAGUAUUGCGUUACAAUUUCCAUUAUAUUUCUUAAUUUUUCACUUAACACAAUGUUUAUAUGAUCUAUCCGCAAUGCUGUAUUCAGUCAUUUGAAUUCACUCAUUCAUUUUAUCAUUCAAUAAAUCUGCAGUGGUGAAGAAAACA